Molecule: ribosomal RNA, 200 nt
Filed under: uncultured bacterium
Lineage: Bacteria
Description: partial 16S ribosomal RNA
Rfam family: Bacterial small subunit ribosomal RNA
Source: RNAcentral
ACGCUCGACACCUACGGGAGGCAGCAGUGGGGGAUAUUGCACAAUGGGCGAAGCCUGAUGCAGCGACGCCGCGUGAGGGAAGACGGUCUUCGGAUUGUAAACCUCUGUCUUCAGGGACGAAAGGAAUGACGGUACCUGAGGAGGAAGCCACGGCUAACUACGUGUCAGCAGCCGCGGUAAUCUGAGCGGGCUGGCAAGGC